RNAcentral lists this ribosomal RNA (301 nucleotides) under uncultured bacterium. Its description in RNAcentral is "partial 16S ribosomal RNA". It matches the Rfam family "Bacterial small subunit ribosomal RNA", at positions 509 to 809 of the family's 1533-position model. The record is from RNAcentral.
CAGCAGCCACGGGAAUACGUAGGGUGCAAGCGUUAAUCGGAAUUACUGGGCGUAAAGCGUGCGCAGGCGGUUUGUUAAGACAGGUGUGAAAUCCCCGGGCUUAACCUGGGAACUGCAUUUGAAACUGGCAAGCUAGAGUCUUGUAGAGGGGGGUAGAAUUCCAGGUGUAGCGGUGAAAUGCGUAGAGAUCUGGAGGAAUACCGGUGGCGAAGGCGGCCCCCUGGACAAAGACUGACGCUCAGGUGCGAAAGCGUGGGGAGCAAACAGGAUUAGAUACCCCGGUAGUCCCUGUCUCUUAUAA